This 1331-nucleotide long non-coding RNA is filed under the name Capsicum annuum. RNAcentral describes it as "long non-coding RNA (CANN_LNC017047)". Lineage: Eukaryota; Viridiplantae; Streptophyta; Magnoliopsida; Solanales; Solanaceae. The record is from RNAcentral.
GUAAUGUCAAUUUAAUUCAAAAUAGGGCCUAAAUUAGCCCAAGUUAAAAUCAUGAACUAACCCAUUCGGAUAACCAGCAAUCCGGCCCAAAUCUUAUAGAUUUAAUCUCAGCCAUCCACAACUUAGAUCAGACGGUCCCUAUUCAUUUCCUACCAUAUUUUCUUUUUAAUUAUCCUAUCACCUCUGACCCUAAUUCAUUUUCCCCAACCCCAGCCGCCAUAUUCUCCUAUCCUUCCUCCCACCACCUCAUUUGUAUUUUUUAAAAACCCAAACAACGUUGUAUAUCCUCGCAACAAUGUUGUUAUGCUUCGUCUUCUUCAUUAUUUAUUUUUGAAAGUGCUCACAAACUUCAAUUUCAAGAAAACCCCAAAUAAAAAAAAAACAGAAUUAGUAUCCAACAAAAUUUCAUUUCAGAAUUCAUUUUAUGGUGUAAGGAGAAUGAGGAAAGGGAAAGUGAUUUUAUUGUGGUGUUUUUGGUCAGCGAUGGGCCGAUCCCUAAUUAAUUCUCCGUAUUUUUUUAUAUUUUCUGGUGUUGAUUGAUCUUUGUUCUUUAACUGAGUUUUUCUUUUUCUGGGUUUAUAUGUGAGUUCUGUUUGUUAUCAUCGUCGUCGUUUAUUGCGAUUUGAUCUUCAAAUAAAGUGUAGCAGGGGUGAAAAUUCUUUUCGUCAACAUAUCCAUCUCCAGCACUAUGUAUGCCAGUGCUGAAUAUUUUUGCGGUGAUUGAGAUUGCUGUGUGAAAGAACAGAAACGUCCUUAAGGGUUUGUGUGAAAUGACAAAAUUACCCUUGGCGAAGCUGGCAAGACAACCGUCUCCUGCCCUGCUUUAAGCCACUUAUGUAUGUUAUGUUACUCAGACUAGAUGCAUGGAGCCCGUGCAAAUACGGGCCCAACAAAAAUUAUUUUUUUAUUUUAAAUUCCGUGGUAUCGGUAAACUUUUAAGAGUUGAUUAAAUUUUUUGAGUGAUUUUUAACCAUUUUUGGAGUUAUUAAUUCUUGUGAUAUAUAAUAUUUUUUUAACUUUGUAGAUAAUACGUGGAACUUUUAUUAUUUCAAUUUAUGUGACAUCGAUGAAAUUUGGAGAGUCAAUAAAAUUUUUAAUAUAAUUUUAAAUUAUCGUGUUGCUUUUUAAAUAUUUUAAGUUGUUAAUUACUAUAAUUUAUAAUCCUUUCACAUAAUUUUUAGUUAAUAUAAUUAGUUGUUUCUAUUUUCAAUUUAUAUGCAUUGAUAAAAUUUAGAGAGUCAACUAAAUUUUUUAUAAAAAGUUUCUACACAUUUUGAAUUUUUAAUUAUUGUAAUUUAUAGUACUUUAUACUAUUUUUCAAAUAAUAUAUG